Molecule: ribosomal RNA, 373 nt
Filed under: uncultured organism
Description: partial 16S ribosomal RNA
Rfam family: Bacterial small subunit ribosomal RNA
Source: RNAcentral
GUAGGUGGCAAGCGUUGUCCGGAAUUAUUGGGCGUAAAGCGCGCGCAGGCGGUUCUUUAAGUCUGAUGUGAAAGCCCACGGCUCAACCGUGGAGGGUCAUUGGAAACUGGAGAACUUGAGUACAGAAGAGGAAAGCGGAAUUCCACGUGUAGCGGUGAAAUGCGUAGAGAUGUGGAGGAACACCAGUGGCGAAGGCGGCUUUCUGGUCUGUAACUGACGCUGAGGCGCGAAAGCGUGGGGAGCAAACAGGAUUAGAUACCCGUGGUAGUCCACGCCGUAAACGAUGAGUGCUAAGUGUUAGGGGGUUUCCGCCCCCCUUAGUGCUGCAGCUAACGCAUUAAGCACUCCGCCUGGGAGUACGGCCGCAAGGCUG